GUGUUAGUAAUCAGGUGCUCUCAAUAUAGGAAGACUACCAUGGAUUACCAGCGCAGGCUGAAUGUAAUUACAUGAGCCUUUAAAAGCCUAAGAAAUCUGCCAUGUGGAUGAAGCAGAAGAAUUCAGAAGGACUCAAAGCAUGAAAAUGAUUCAGAGAGCUUACAUUUUCCUUCCCUUGUUCCAUAAGCAAGAGUCUAUCUUUGUUGGCUUUGAUGAUAAAGGGACCACAAUCCAAAGAAUGCUAAUAGCCCCUAAAACUGAGAAUGAUCCCUGGUUCACAGCCAGCAAGAAAACGAGAGAAUUCAGUCUUACAACAGCAAGAAAUGGGAUUUAACCAGCCAGCUAAGUAAGUUUGGAAGUGGAUUUUCUUCCAGAGCACACCUGUAAGUGCCUAUCUGGCUGACACCUUGAUUUCAUCUUUCUAAAACCCCAAGCAAAGGACCCAUUGAGCUCAGCAUGGACAUCUGACUGACAGAACUGAAAGAUAAUAAAUGCAUGUUAUUAUAAGCUAAGAAGUUUUUGUUAAUUUGUUUUGGUAGCAAUAGAAAACUCCUACAGCAGAAGAGAAAGGGAACUUAAAUAGAUGUUGGAGAUAUAAACAUAAUAAAGAUUUCAGAGACAUAGGGCAAUGUAGCUAUAUGCUGAAAAGAAAUUGGAGGAAGAGUUUUGGGAUCCAAGAUUUUGGAAAGAGAGAAAAGGAGUACAUACUAAACUGAAACGAUUGUUAAAGUGAUUUCUGCUAUGAGCCGUGCUUCUUCAGAUGUGAAUGACUUUAUUCAGAGAGAUCUAGAGGGAGCCUGGGAAAUAUUUAGUUUAUAUAGGAGAAACUGGAGUUGGAGAAAGAAUAAACAUAAUAAACAGAAGACAUUUUGAUAAUCCAGAAAUAAACGAUUUACUCUAGAACUGACAUGGUAAGAAUGGCAAUAAAGAGAUUAGGCCCUGUUAUAGAUAAAUCAAAUACUUACUGUGAAAGAUUGCCAACCUUGCAUACUUAGGAAAUUUACAUUAGUGGUAUCAUCUGGCUCUGUGUCUCCGCCCUAGUCUCCUCUUGAAUUGUAAUCCCCAAUUACAAUUGGGGAUUGUAAUUUGGGGGAGGAACCUCUUGGGAAGUGAUUGGAUCAUGGGGGUGGUUCCCCAUGCUCUUCUUGUGCUAGUGAGUGAGUUCUCACGAGAUCUGAUAGUUUUAUAAGGGGCUCUUCCGCCUUUGCUUUGCAUUUCUUUCUCUUGCUUCCUUGUGAAGAGAGAUGUGUUUCCUCCCGUUUCCACUAUGAUUUUAAGUUUCCUGAGGCCUCCCCAACCAUCUCAGUGGAACGGCCGGAGCAUGUAAUUGCUGGAGUGGGAUCCUUCAUGGAUUUCUCUUAUCCUGGCAUUGACAAUGAUAGAAGAGGAGGCCCCUCCUUCUACCUGGGUAACUGUGAUUAACAGACACAGAAUGGACGUGUGCUGAGAAAGAAAUCGUUGCUAUGUUAAGAUCCUUGGGAAGAAUUGUAUAAUGCCUAGCUGACUUAGUUGUGAGAUAACUUGAAAGCUGAAAGACUGCUGUUACUACAACUGAGGAAAUGUACAGAUCUUUGGGGAUCCUGUCACAAAGAUUAGAAUCUUUCCCUGAGGUCGGGGGUUGAAGACCAGCCUGGCCAAUGUGGCGAAACUCCAUCUCCACUGAAACUAUAAAAAUUAGCUGGGCGUGGUGGUGGGCGCUUGUAGCCCCAGCUACUCUAGGGGCUGAAACGAGAAUCACUUGAACCCAAGUAGUGGAGAUGGCAGUGAGCAGAGAUUGCACCACCGCACUCCAGCCUGGACGACAGAGUGAGAUUCUGUCUCAUAAAAAAAAGAAAAACGACAACAAAAAAGAUUAGAAUAUUUAAGGACUGCCGAAUUAAGUCUUAUUUUCUGCUUCAUUUUUGCCACAGAUCUGGACUCUGUUCAGAUUAUAAGAAGGCUUUCAAGUAAUAAAACUAUGAAUAUCUUAAAAGCUUAUGAAUCAGCCUUGUCUUUUACUGUCAUUGUGGCAUUUGUUGUACUUUUAGUACUCUGAGUUUUGGAGUUUUCAUUGUUCUCCUAUGACUAAGCCCCUGUUCUCUUCCCUGUAUCCCUGUCUAUGGAGUUUCAGUGUAUAUUCAUGUGCCCAAUUCCCUGACUUGAUUCCAUAUUAACUGCCUCAGCUCCUCUAGUUUCAGGGUCUUUCUUACACUCUGAAAAAAUCGGGUGUCCUUAUUGGAGUCUCAUUUUUCACUGAUGCCAGCUCUUCUACUUUGACCUAAAACUCACAAUCCUGCGCUCUGCUCAUUUAACACUGUUCUGCCAUUAUCUGCUGCUCAUCACACACACCCACACACACACACGCCUUCCUUUCUUUAUGACUUGCUGUCUUGAUACCCUCCUAAUACCUGAUCCUUCAGACAAGUUCCUUCAGUUGUCUUCUUUCUGGAUCCCAGCCAUUCUCGGAAAGAGAGUUUAGUCCUGUUACUGACUAUACUUAAUUAGCAUAGCAUGGUCCGGAAUAAGACAGCAGGGAUGGGGGCUGCCCUGAGGAGUUUCUGGAUACACAGUCUCACCAGAGUUGUCUUGCACACAACCUGUAGGUAAAUAUAUGAACACUGAAGUGUAAAACUUUUGACAGGAACUACUCAAGUGUUCUGUCUUUUUCUUUGGAGUUAUGUGAAUAACGAGAAAGCA
RNAcentral lists this long non-coding RNA (2676 nucleotides) under Homo sapiens (human). RNAcentral's name for it is "HSALNT0046622". Lineage: Eukaryota; Metazoa; Chordata; Mammalia; Primates; Hominidae. The record is from RNAcentral.